Molecule: non-coding RNA, 379 nt
Organism: Peromyscus maniculatus bairdii (prairie deer mouse)
Lineage: Eukaryota; Metazoa; Chordata; Mammalia; Rodentia; Cricetidae
Source: RefSeq, a predicted model, not a curated record
CAAUGACAAAUCCACAUGGACUAUAUGGUAAAGCCAUUAAGCUGAUUAACACCAUGGAAAGAUCGACUUUGGACUACAAACUAUUCAGGACAAUUUCAAGAUGGCUAGCUGAAAUGAUCCAGAUUCAUAGACUACUGAACAAGGACUUGAGACAAGUCCUGCAUUUUCUCAUGCAGAUACUGGACAAAUGAUACAACUCUCUAAGGACUUGACAAUUAACCCAAAAAUUUUCUUUUCAGGAUUCCCUAAAGAUGUCUUCACCCCCAGAAAGCAGGAAAAAAAAGAGAAUAUAGAUGUGAGGUAUAUCAUUGAAUCUACUCGGAGAAAAAAGAUAAAGAAAUAAUAGGAUAAAUGGGUAGAUCAUUGAAUCUACUCUAAA